Camelus dromedarius (Arabian camel) is the source of this 776-nucleotide long non-coding RNA. RefSeq lists it as uncharacterized. The transcript is spliced from 3 exons. NCBI's taxonomy places the organism in Eukaryota, Metazoa, Chordata, Mammalia, Artiodactyla, Camelidae. The record is from RefSeq and is a predicted model, not a curated record.
AGUCAGGUGACCUGCGCAGGCGUUAUCUGGGUUUCACGCGUGUACACAUUCAAAAUGGAGGGACUUCGCACGAUCUGAGGAGGAGUUUUUCAGUCCUCUGAUGGCACAAGGCCAUUUGUCAGACACCUGUGUGGGCCCAGUUUUAGCGCUGGUGGUUCCAACAAGCCUCAGCGGGCUCGCCGCUGCACCAGCGCUCACUCCAAGUUCCUGUAAAACAACCCAAGGACUAGAAGUUGAAGCCGGGAAGGUACCUGAAGCUGGAAGAUUCUGGUGACCAGGAUGAGAGUUGCUGGGAUACCCUGCUUGCUCCAGAGCCUGCAGACGAGAUACUGGGAAAACUGACAGUAGCCAGCAAAGGGUCCAGUCCUUUCCAAAUGCCAAUGGCUUCCAUCUGAGCACGUGGUUCAGGAGCAUCCCAGCCUAUGACAGCCCAGCAAGUAGUUGCAGGAACUCCUUUCAGGAAUCAAGGCCACUUAAUGUCUUGGGUUAGCUUUAAAUAGGCUCUGUAAUGGGGAACUCUCUGAGAGGAGAACAUGGGUAUGAGCUGAAAUCUAAGAAGCUGAACUGGGAUUCUGCAGUUGUUGUUGAUUGGCUCUUGGCCUCUUUGACCACUUUUCUGAAAGUGAAUAUAGUUCAAUUAAAAAAAAAAAUUGCCCAAACCCACCAUUUGACUUUUCCACCAAAAUAAAGGUGUAAACUUUUCCUCUCAUGAAAUGGUUUGGAACCCCCUUCUUAUUCAUUCUGCAUAUGUAUUCAAUAUAGACAUUCCUUUUAGA